GGGGUGCAGCAGGCGCGAAAACUUUACAAUGCUGGCAACAGCGAUAAGGGGACCUCGAGUGCCAGGAUACAAUCUUGGCUGUCGCGAUGCCUAAAAAGCAUUGCAUAGCAAGGGCCGGGCAAGACCGGCGCCAGCCGCCGCGGUAACACCGGCGGCUCGAGUGGUAACCGCUAUUAUUGGGUCUAAAGGGUCUGUAGCCGGCCGGAUAAGUCUUUUGGGAAAUCCAGCUGCUCAACAGUUGGGCUUUCAGAAGAUACUGUUCGGCUCGAGACCGGGAGAGGUGAGAGGUACUUCAGGGGUAGGGGUGAAAUCUUGUAAUCCUUGGAGGACCACCAGUGGCGAAGGCGUCUCACCAGAACGGAUCUGACGGCAAGGGACGAAAGCUAGGGGCACGAACCGGAUUAGAUACCCGGGUAGUCCUAGCCGUAAACGAUACUCGCUAGGUGUCAGCCACGGUGCGACCGUGGUUGGUGCCGUAGGGAAGCCGUGAAGCGAGCCACCUGGGAAGUACGGCCGCAAGGCUGAAACUUAAAGGAAUUGGCGGGGGAGCACAAGGGCGAUUCGCG
RNAcentral lists this ribosomal RNA (566 nucleotides) under uncultured archaeon. RNAcentral describes it as "bacterial SSU rRNA". It matches the Rfam family "Archaeal small subunit ribosomal RNA", at positions 327 to 897 of the family's 1478-position model. The record is from RNAcentral.